RNAcentral lists this ribosomal RNA (492 nucleotides) under uncultured Actinomycetes bacterium. RNAcentral's name for it is "bacterial SSU rRNA". It matches the Rfam family "Bacterial small subunit ribosomal RNA", at positions 28 to 507 of the family's 1533-position model. The record is from RNAcentral. Lineage: Bacteria; Bacillati; Actinomycetota; Actinomycetes.
GACGAACGCUGGCGGCGCGCCUAACACAUGCAAGUCGAGCGAGAACUACUCCUUCGGGGGUAGGGAAAGCGGCGAACGGGUGAGUAACACGUGGGUAAUCUGCCCUCGGUUCUGGGAUAGCCCGGGGAAACCCGGAUUAAUACCGGAUGGCCUCUCGAGCUCUCGGGCUCGAGAGAAAAGGUAGCUUCGGCCUCCGACCGAGGAUGAGCCCGCGGCCGAUUAGCUUGUUGGCGGGGUAACGGCCCACCAAGGCGACGAUCGGUAGCUGGUCUGAGAGGACGAUCAGCCACACUGGGACUGAGACACGGCCCAGACUCCUACGGGAGGCAGCAGUGGGGAAUCUUGCGCAAUGGGCGAAAGCCUGACGCAGCGACGCCGCGUACGGGAAGAAGGCCUUCGGGUUGUAAACCGUUUUCAGGAGGGACGAAGCCACUCGGGUUAAUAGCCCAGAGGGUGACGGUACCUCCAGAAGAAGCCCCGGCUAACUACGUG